RNAcentral lists this ribosomal RNA (429 nucleotides) under bacterium. RNAcentral's name for it is "partial 16S ribosomal RNA". It matches the Rfam family "Bacterial small subunit ribosomal RNA", at positions 355 to 776 of the family's 1533-position model. The record is from RNAcentral.
UAGGGAAUCUUCGGCAAUGGGGGCAACCCUGACCGAGCAACGCCGCGUGAGUGAAGAAGGUUUUCGGAUCGUAAAGCUCUGUUGUAAGAGAAGAACGUGUGUGAGAGUGGAAAGUUCACACAGUGACGGUAACUUACCAGAAAGGGACGGCUAACUACGUGCCAGCAGCCGCGGUAAUACGUAGGUACCGAGCGUUGUCCGGAUUUAUUGGGCGUAAAGCGAGCGCAGGCGGUUUAAUAAGUCUGAAGUUAAAGGCAGUGGCUUAACCAUUGUUCGCUUUGGAAACUGUUAAACUUGAGUGCAGAAGGGGAGAGUGGAAUUCCAUGUGUAGCGGUGAAAUGCGUAGAUAUAUGGAGGAACACCGGUGGCGAAAGCGGCUCUCUGGUCUGUAACUGACGCUGAGGCUCGAAAGCGUGGGGAGCAAACAGG